GCACUGCUGAGGAGUCUCAAAAUAGGACGAAACGACCGUCCAGUGC
This 46-nucleotide non-coding RNA is filed under the name Schistosoma curassoni. Lineage: Eukaryota; Metazoa; Platyhelminthes; Trematoda; Strigeidida; Schistosomatidae. The record is from RNAcentral.